This is a long non-coding RNA of Oncorhynchus tshawytscha (Chinook salmon), 348 nucleotides long. The record is from Ensembl. NCBI's taxonomy places the organism in Eukaryota, Metazoa, Chordata, Actinopteri, Salmoniformes, Salmonidae.
UGGGAACAAGAAUGUUCAGAGAGAGAGAGGGGUCUAGAGGUGGGAACAGGAAUGUUCAGAGAGAGAGAGGGGUCUAGAGGUGGGAACAGGAAUGUUCAGAGAGAGAGAGGGGUCUAGAGGUGGGAACAGGAAUGUUCAGAGAGAGAGAGGGGUCUAGAGGUGGGAACAGGAAUGUUCAGAGAGAGAGAGGUCUAGAGGUGGGAACAGGAACGUUCAGAGAGAGAGGGGUCUAGAGGUGGGAACAGGAACGUUCAGAGAGAGAGAGGGGUCUAGAGGUGGGAACAGGAAUGUUCAGAGAGAGAGAGAGGUCUAGAGGUGGGAACAGGAACGUUCAGAGAGAGAGAGGGG